AUGCAGACAUUUAGGUGGAGAGACUGGACUUCAUGCCCUCAUGGCAGCUGUAAUUUGGAAGUCAAAUGCAGCAGGGCACACUUAGAGCUGAUCCGUGAUUCCCGCACAGAGAGCCAAGAUAGAGUUUUGCUCUUGUUGUCCAGGCUGGAGUGCAAUAGCACAAUCUCGGCUCACUACAACCUCCGCCUCCUGGGUUCAAGUGAUUCUCCUGCCUUAGCCUCCUGAAUAGCUGGGAUUACAGAUGUGUGCCACCAUGCCUGGCUGAGUUUUGUAUGCUUUGUUGAGACAGGGGUUUGCAUGUUGGCCAGGCUGGUCUUGAACUCCUUGACCUCAGGUGAGCCACCUGUAUCAGCCUCGCGAAAUACUGGGAUUAUAGGCAUGAGCUGCUGUGCCUGGCCAAGACCUCAUUUAUUGCUGGGAGGAGCAGCAAAGCCACAUGACCAAGGGGUGAGAAUACAGGGAAUCAUGAACCACGUCGGGGGAGGGCGUCAC
This 492-nucleotide long non-coding RNA is filed under the name Callithrix jacchus (white-tufted-ear marmoset). Its description in RNAcentral is "lncRNA (ENSCJAG00000054648.2)". Lineage: Eukaryota; Metazoa; Chordata; Mammalia; Primates; Cebidae. The record is from RNAcentral.